This 196-nucleotide ribosomal RNA is filed under the name uncultured bacterium. Its description in RNAcentral is "partial 16S ribosomal RNA". It matches the Rfam family "Bacterial small subunit ribosomal RNA", at positions 521 to 715 of the family's 1533-position model. The record is from RNAcentral.
UAAUACGAAGGGGGCUAGCGUUGCUCGGAAUCACUGGGCGUAAAGCGCACGUAGGCGGAUUCCUAAGUCGGUGGUGAAAUCCUGGAGCUCAACUCCAGAACUGCCUCCGAUACUGAGAGUCUACGAGUCCGGGAGAGGUGAGUGGAACUGCGAGUGUAGAGGUGAAAUUCGUAGAUAUUCGCAAGAACACCAGUGG